UUCAAAAUUCGACAACUACUUUGGGCUUUUCUUCUGGGUUUGCUGCUUCUACUUCUCAGUCAGAGCUGCCCGUUUCUACGGCGUCAACUUCUGAAUCUCAUCCCCCUGAUGAAAACGGCAUAGGUGACUGGCCGGAGGCAGUCACGGGCCCUCUAUGAAGCUACUAUCCUGGUACUGUCAAAGAUUUGGGCCUUCUUUGACAUGUCUACUCCGUCAUCUGUAUCAUAAUCAUCAGCCUACUGUGCUUUUCUUUUUGCCAUCUGAAGUUCAGGAAAGCACUUGCUCUGUUUGGAAGUCUGAUCACAAGCUUAAUGACCUUUUUGUUGUAAAUCACUUGCUCAUUGGUUUAGUUCUAGCUUGGAAUACUUCUUUUGUUCAGCUCUCGAUGUUGGAUAGUGUUGUUACCUAUGUACAUACUAGUGAGUUUUUUGUGCUUCUUUGUUUGCAAUGUAUUAUCACUUGGGUUUUUGGUUAUCCCCAUGUUUGUGAUAACACUUUGUUCUCGAUGCCUGAUGCUCUUCACUUCCUUGGUUAUGUCUAGCUGUUUUUCAUAAAGUGAAUUGGCUAGUUGUGAUUCGGGGAGGUCAUCCUCCAGCUGUGUGGAGAAGUUGUCUCUUUAUUAGUUUGAUCACAAAUGCUCUUUUGCUGGAUAUCACCCAACAGGGUCCUGCAUUUUCUCCAUUCUCCUACCAUAAUGGUCAGUUAAUCAUGGAAAGGAACAUGGUUGCUCUAUUUGGUGUCUCUGUGAUGCAUUUGGUUGUUUGGGGUGCUAUGGAUAGUGAAAAGGGCUGUGGUGGCGGGCCUAUUACCGCCACAAGGCCGCUAUGAGGAUCAUCUCUUGGAAUUGUCAAGGUUUGGGUCCAAACCUUGACUGAAAGUACUCUAAGACAUCUUAAGAGUACACUGGAUCCUAGUUUGGUUUUUCUUAUGGAAACAAAAAAUAAAGCAUUCACAGUUGAUAAUGUCAGGCAGAAAUUGGGUUUUUCUAAUGGCUUCAGGGUGGAUCCAGAAGGGCUUCUUGGCUUAUCUGGAGGGUUAGCUGUUUGGUGGACUGAUAAAUUGGUAGUGGAUGUUCUUGAUAGUGCUAAGAAUUUUAUCGAUACAAGAAUUACUGAUACAGAGGCUAACCUUGUUAGUCGUGUUACCUUUAUCUACGGUCCUCCGCAAGAUGGGAAGAAAGCUUUCUGGAAUAAGUUAUGCUCUAUUGCUCGUUUAAUAUUUGAGCCUUUGUAUUGGGGAUUUUAAUGAGCUUUUAAGCAAUGAUGAGGUUCUAGGGGGGGCUCCUAGAAGUGAGGCAAGAAUGAAGAUGUUCAGGGACUUUAUUUUCAAGGCAAGGCUUCUUGAUCUGGGAUUUCAAGGGUCUGCUUUCACAUGGUUCAGGAAAAAGAUAGAUGGCUCCUUAUUGCAAGAACGAUUGGAUAGAGCUUUGGUUAAUGGUACAUGGUGUGAUACUUGGCCUCAGACUGAAAUUUUCAAUUAUCCCAAUGUGGGUUCUGAUCACUCGCCAGUUCUUGUGUCUUGCUCUCCUAUGGAUUCUAAAGCUCCUAAACUUUUCAAAUUUGAGGAACGUUGGAAACGUGAUCCUAAGUGUUUUGAAGUGGUGAAUCAAAAUUGGAAGCAAACUGUUAGUGGCAGCUCUCAAUUUCAAUGGAAAAAGAAACUUAGUUACUGUAAGGUGGGUUUGAAGAGCUGGAGCAGCAAGUGUUUUGGGAAUUCUAAGAAAAAAAUUGAUUCUCUAAUGGGGGAGCUGAAUCAUCUUUCUAGUCAUGGUUCUUAUGAAGUGCAUAAAGAGAGGAUGGAGGCAAUAGUUCUGAAUCUUGAUGAGCUUUGGACACGGGAAGAAUCGUUUUGGCAUCAAAAAUCCAGAGUGAAUUGGCUUCGAACUGGUGAUAAAAUACUCGUUUUUUCCAUCUGAGUACAGUCCAAAGGAGGCAUAGGAAUAAAAUAUGACUGGUUAAAGCAACGAAUGGUAGCUGGUUGGAAGGUGACAAAGCUGUGAAUGACGGUUUCACCAAGUACUUGAAGGAGUUAUUUUCAUCGGAGGGUGAACGAAACUGGGAUGAAGCACUAAAUUCCAUUAGUCCAGUUGUGUCAUCUGAAAUGAAUGACAAUCUUUUGAGGCAAGUUACGAUUGACGAGGUCAGGGAUGCAGUUUUUCAAAUUGGUCCUCUGAAGGCACCUGGCCCGGAUGGGUUGCUUUCUCUCCUUCACGGGGCUUGAGGCUGGGGGAUCCUUUGUCCCCGUACUUAUUCAUUUUGGUCAGCGAAGUUUUAACUGCAAUGAUUAAUAGGGCAUGCUUGAAUCACUCCCUAAUUGGUGUUCAAAUGGGUGCAGAGGGUCCCUGGAUUUCACAUCUUUUGUUUGCUGAUGAUUCCCUAUUCUUUUUGAAGGCUUCUAUAGAAAACUGUCAAUCAAUGAUGAGCAUUCUGACUAACUACUGUACAGCAUCAGGCCAGCGAGUCAAUAUCAGCAAAUCAACCUUGUUUUUUAGUCUCAAUUCACCUCUACAGCUCCAAUUGAAUAUCAGUGAUAUUUUGGGUGUUCGUGGAUCCGAUGACCCUGGCAAGUAUCUUGGACUCCCUACUUUAUGGGGAAGAUCCAAAAAGCAAGCUUUGGCUUUUGUGAAAGAUAGAAUCUCAAAAAAAAUUCAAGGUUGGAAACAGUUGAAUCUCACCCAGGCUGGGAAAGAAAUUCUUGUGAAAUCUGUCAUUUCUGCUAUCCCUGCUCUAUGGCAGUAUUUCUAUUCACUGAUGGGCUGUGUAAGGAGAUUGCGAACUUUUGGUGGGGACAGACUGAUAUGGGGGGUAAGGUGCAUUGGUUGAGUUGGGAAAAGCUUGGAUUGCCCAAGGAGGAGGGAGGUUUGGGUUUCAGGUGUCUGAGAGAUUUCAAUCUAGCCCUCCUUGCCAAAGUAGGGUGGAGAAUUAUUCAACAACCUGAGGCUUUAUGGGUUCAAGUGCUCAAGGGAUUAUAUUUUCCUCAUUGUGAUUUCUUGUCAGCUUCUAAAGGGUCUAGAGCUUCGUGGGCUUGGAGUAGCAUUCUGGAGGGAAGAAAUUUAUUAAGUGAUCAUGCUUUGUGGCAGGUACUCAAUGGGGAGUCCAUUAGUACUUGGAAAGAUAAAUGGAUUCCAGGGAUUUUAGGUGGGAGACUGAGUGCUUCUCAUCUGUACGCUUCUGAGUUUGAUCCUUUUCAGAGGGUUGCAGACUUGGUUGAUUGGUCUUCGACCUCUUGGAAUCUGGAUCCCAUUGCUCAGCAUUUGACAGCUGCUGAGGUUGUUGCUAUUGAGUCCAUCCCAUUGUCCUCUACUUGGGAACCUGAUAAGUUAGUCUGGCCUUAUGAGAAAUGUGGUUCUUAUUCAGUCAGGUCCGGGUAUCAUGUGCAGCAUGGAGGGAGAAGUAAGGCAUCUUUGCAAUCAGCUCACUCUUCACAUAUUGUUAAUCCUACUGUUUGGAAACAAUUGUGGAACGUCUCUUCUAUCCCUAAAGUCAAGCAUUUUCUUUGGAGGGCUUGUACUAAUGCACUUCCAACUAUGGCUAAUCUUUUUGUUAAAAAAGUGACCCCCUCUCCUCUUUGUCCAUUUUGUUCGGAUCAUAUGGAGACUAUUGAGCAUUUGUUACUUCAAUGUCCAUGGACCAUAGGAGUGUGGUUUGGUUUGCCUGUUAAUUACAUAGUGGAUUUGGCAGCUAUUACUACUUUUGAUGCUUGGUUUUCUGGUGUUUGUGAGAUGAUGAAGGUUGUUCAUAAAAGCAAAAUGGUUCUCUCUUGUUGGAUUUCCUUUGCUCUUUGGAUCAUCUGGAAGGAAAGGUGUGCAGCUGUUUAUGAUCAUAGAGAGCCUAGUCCUUGGGGGGUAAUUGCUCAAAUCAAAGCUGCUGUUUCAGAAUAUAGUGGUCUGAUUGUUUCUGGUUCAUCAAUCCGUAGUUCUUCUGUCGAGAGUGUGAAGUGGUUUGCUCCUUUGUUUCCUACUGUAAAGCUGAAUUGUGAUGGGGCUUGGAGUUCAGUAACCAAAAGAGCUGGGAUUGGAUGUAUUAUCAGAGAUUUUACUGGUACAAUUAUUAAUGGGAGAGUUAAAACCUGCUUGGCAAACUCUGCUUUGCAUGCUGAAGCUAUUGCUGUCUUAGAGGGAUUGAUUUCAGCUAGAAAUCUGGAUUUCCCCUCGGUAAGUGUUGAAAUGGAUUCUGAUCAAUUGUUUUCUGCAAUUGUUUCGAAGCCUUACACAAAUUUAUGGCACAUCUAUCCUCUUUUGAGAGACAUUAGGAAGAUUAAGCUUGAGAAGCCUCUGUGGAUUUGGAGUUUGGUCAAGCGAAAGUGUAACGCUGUGGCGGAUUGGCUUGCAACGCGAGCUAAAAUUGGGGGUGGAUUUGGGGGAUUGGAUCAAUCAACCUCCACUUUCAUUGAUGCAGUAUGCAGAAUUCACCUACAGAAACCAAGCAUAGAAAGACCAGUGACACCAUUGUCAGAUCUCAGACCGGGUUGUCGGAUGAGUAGUGGGAAGUCAAGACCCAGAACUUUAGCGAGACCUCAUGGCUACUGAAAAGAAUGCUAGACCCCACAAAGGCAAUUCACCUGACUUGGUCUUGGGGGAGCAGUCCCAUGUUCGAGUUUGGCGUCAAAGAAAGAUAAGGAAUUGAGCAUGAAGUGAAUUUGUGACCGUGUUUGAGCGAAGAGGAUGCAAAGCAGUUCUUUUCUAUGGUGUUUGGGGCUCAAUUUCAAAGGGCAUUCUUGCACAGUGGAGGGGAUAAGGUGUAUAUGAUAGAUGUGGCCUGGUUCUGCUUUUAAUGUAACACUCAAUUUUUGACAAAGAUUUGAAGUGAAUUGACUUCAUAUACUAUGGAACCAUUGUCAGUUGGAGGAGGGGUAACUUGCACCAUGGCACCUCCCAGUGCUUCAACUAAUCCCAGUGACCUAGGAAGAAUAAAUGAGUUGAACCAAAUGACACAGGUGCCUGUUGUCCACAUGACAUACGGCCAGUAUCGAUAUUGCCCUUAUGCGUGAGGACCUUUCAUAGCAAGUCCGAUUCCAUAGGGCCAAUAUCAAUGGUCACCACCAUCAACCAAAGACGCAGCGAAGCUUGGCAUGACAUCAUCAAUAGAGAGGAAAAGAGUAGGGAUAGCACGUCGCUCUUGCUUGGGGUUUGCUAGGGGUUCACUUAUGAUUUCAGCAACAGAAUGGCUAUGUCAGGGUUAAUUUGCUAGAAAUAUUUCAAUCCAUUUGUA
Molecule: RNA transcript, 5210 nt
Organism: Rosa rugosa (rugosa rose)
Lineage: Eukaryota; Viridiplantae; Streptophyta; Magnoliopsida; Rosales; Rosaceae
Gene name: protein WHAT'S THIS FACTOR 1 homolog, chloroplastic
Exons: 3
Source: RefSeq, a predicted model, not a curated record